Molecule: unclassified non-coding RNA, 354 nt
Filed under: soil metagenome
Description: partial contains 5.8S ribosomal RNA, internal transcribed spacer 2, and large subunit ribosomal RNA
Rfam family: 5.8S ribosomal RNA (bases 1-120)
Source: RNAcentral
GAUGAAGAACGUAGCGAAAUGCGAUAAGUAAUGUGAAUUGCAGAAUUCAGUGAAUCAUCGAAUCUUUGAACGCACAUUGCGCCCGCCAGUAUUCUGGCGGGCAUGCCUGUCCGAGCGUCAUUUCAACCCUCGAACCCCUCCGGGGGGUCGGCGUUGGGGAUCGGCCCUGCCUCUUGGCGGUGGCCGUCUCCGAAAUACAGUGGCGGUCUCGCCGCAGCCUCUCCUGCGCAGUAGUUUGCACACUCGCAUCGGGAGCGCGGCGCGUCCACAGCCGUUAAACACCCAACUUCUGAAAUGUUGACCUCGGAUCAGGUAGGAAUACCCGCUGAACUUAAGCAUAUCAAUAAGCGGGGA